UACAGAGGUCUCAAGCGUUGUUCGGAUUCAUUGGGCGUAAAGGGUGUGUAGGUGGCGCGAUAAGUCGGGUGUGAAAUUUCGGAGCUUAACUCCGAAACUGCAUUCGAUACUGGCGUGCUUGAGGACUGGAGAGGAGACUGGAAUUCAUGGUGUAGCAGUGAAAUGCGUAGAGAUCAUGAGGAAGACCAGUGGCGAAGGCGGGUCUCUGGACAGUUCCUGACACUGAGACACGAAGGCCAGGGGAGCAAACGGG
RNAcentral lists this ribosomal RNA (253 nucleotides) under uncultured bacterium. RNAcentral's name for it is "partial 16S ribosomal RNA". It matches the Rfam family "Bacterial small subunit ribosomal RNA", at positions 524 to 776 of the family's 1533-position model. The record is from RNAcentral.